UUUGAUUUGGCAGAAAAAUGCCUUUGGUUUAGGACCAACUUAUAACUAGUUAUAGUUAAUCAGUA
RNAcentral lists this transfer RNA (65 nucleotides) under Odontoglaja guamensis. RNAcentral describes it as "tRNA-Leu". The record is from RNAcentral. Lineage: Eukaryota; Metazoa; Mollusca; Gastropoda; Cephalaspidea; Aglajidae.